GACCUUACUUUGAUAUUUUUUUUUCUUACCUGGUGAGGCAGGAAAGUGAGCUUCUGGUUCCAAGCGUCCGGCACAGGCUGAGCAUGACCUGCUCCACAGGCAGCGACAGGUGGGGAGUUUGACGAGCAAGCGGUAUACCUAUCAAACCACAAUGCAGGUGUCCUAAGGUGAGGUCAGGGAGGACAGAAACCUCCCGCAGAGUGAAGGGCAAAAACUCGCUUGAUCUUGAUUUUCAGUACGAAUACAGACCAUGAAAGUGGUCUGGUUUUUGGGGUUUUAAGCAGGAGGUGUCAGGA
Molecule: non-coding RNA, 296 nt
Filed under: Anolis carolinensis (green anole)
Lineage: Eukaryota; Metazoa; Chordata; Lepidosauria; Squamata; Anolidae
Description: Eukaryotic large subunit ribosomal RNA
Rfam family: Eukaryotic large subunit ribosomal RNA
Source: Rfam by way of RNAcentral